UACGAAGGGGGCUAGCGUUGCUCGGAAUUACUGGGCGUAAAGGGCGCGUAGGCGGAGUGCUUUGUCGGGCGUGAAAUUCCAGGGCUCAACCUUGGGGCUGCGUUCGAGACGGGCAUUCUAGAGUGGAGAAGAGGGUCGUGGAAUUCCCAGUGUAGAGGUGAAAUUCGUAGAUAUUGGGAAGAACACCGGUGGCGAAGGCGGCGACCUGGUCUUUUACUGACGCUGAGGCGCGAAAGCGUGGGGAGCGAACAGG
RNAcentral lists this ribosomal RNA (253 nucleotides) under uncultured bacterium. Its description in RNAcentral is "partial 16S ribosomal RNA". It matches the Rfam family "Bacterial small subunit ribosomal RNA", at positions 524 to 776 of the family's 1533-position model. The record is from RNAcentral.